Molecule: ribosomal RNA, 219 nt
Filed under: uncultured bacterium
Lineage: Bacteria
Description: partial 16S ribosomal RNA
Rfam family: Bacterial small subunit ribosomal RNA
Source: RNAcentral
CACGUGGGUAACCUGCCUCGUAGUGGGGAAUAACUCGCCGAAAGGCGAGCUAAUACCGCAUAACACCCUCGGUGAGAAUCCGAGUGGUAAAAGCUUUAUGCGCUAUGAGAGGGGCCCGCGGCCGAUUAGCUUGUUGGUGGGGUAACUGCCUACCAAGGCGACGAUCGGUAGCUGGUCUGAGAGGAUGGUCAGCCACACGGGGACUGAGAUACGGCCCCG